RNAcentral lists this ribosomal RNA (406 nucleotides) under uncultured bacterium. Its description in RNAcentral is "partial 16S ribosomal RNA". It matches the Rfam family "Bacterial small subunit ribosomal RNA", at positions 30 to 526 of the family's 1533-position model. The record is from RNAcentral.
AUUGAACGCUGUCGGCAGGCCUAACACAUGCAAGUCGAACGAGUGGCGGACGGGUGAGUAAUGUCUGGGAAACUGCCUGCUGUAGGGGGAUAAUUACUGGAAACUGUCACUAAUAACGCAUACCAUCAAAUGUGCCCAGAUGGGAUUAGCUAGUUGGUGGGGUAACGGCUCACCAAAGCGACGAUCCCUAGCUGGUCUGAGAGGAUGACAAGCCACACUGAAACGGAGACACGGUCCAGACUCCUACGGGAGGCAGAAGUGGGGAAUAUUGAACAAGGGGCGCAAGCCUGAUGCAGCCAUGCCGCGUGUAUGAAUAAGGCCUUCGGGUGGUAAAGUACUUUCAGCGGGGAGGCGUUACCCGCAGAAGAAGCACCGGCUAACUCCGUGCCAGCCGCCGCGGUAAUUC